UAGCCCAGUGACAUAACAAUUGUAACGUU
RNAcentral lists this non-coding RNA (29 nucleotides) under Homo sapiens (human). Lineage: Eukaryota; Metazoa; Chordata; Mammalia; Primates; Hominidae. The record is from RNAcentral.